AGCGAACGCUGGCGGCAGGCCUAACACAUGCAAGUCGAACGAACUCUUCGGAGUUAGUGGCGGACGGGUGAGGAACACGUGGGAACGUGCCUUUUGGUUCGGAAUAACUCAGGGAAACUUGUGCUAAUACCGAAUGUGCUCUUCGGGGGAAAGAUUUAUCGCCAUUAGAGCGGCCCGCGUCUGAUUAGCUAGUUGGUGAGGUAACGGCUCACCACGGCGACGAUCAGUAGCUGGUCUGAGAGGAUGACCAGCCACACUGGGACUGAGACGCGGCCCAGAAUCCUACGGGAGGCAGCAGUGGGGAAUCUUGCGCAAUGGGCGAAGGGCUGACGCAGCCAUGCCGGGUGAAUGAUGAAGGUCGUAGGAUAGUAAAAUUCUUUCACCGGGGGCGAUAAUGACGGUACCCGGAGAAGAAGCCCCGGCUAACUUCGUG
RNAcentral lists this ribosomal RNA (433 nucleotides) under uncultured bacterium. Its description in RNAcentral is "partial 16S ribosomal RNA". It matches the Rfam family "Bacterial small subunit ribosomal RNA", at positions 29 to 507 of the family's 1533-position model. The record is from RNAcentral.